Molecule: long non-coding RNA, 660 nt
Organism: Grammomys surdaster
Lineage: Eukaryota; Metazoa; Chordata; Mammalia; Rodentia; Muridae
Exons: 3
Source: RefSeq, a predicted model, not a curated record
UGAGCAGUAGUGGUUCCUCCAGGACCCAGAGUCGGCCCCUGGCCUACCUCCUGCGCCGCUGUUUGCAGGCGGUCACCAGGCAGUUUCGUCCCUUGGUGACCUCGGACCGCAGCAUAAGCCUCAAACGCCAUUACAAUGCCCCCUCCCACUUGCUCCGAAAGACCAUGUCUUCCCCUCUGUCCAAAGAACAGCGGCAGAAGUAGAGCGUCUGCUCCAUGCCUAUUCGCAAGGACAAGGUCCAGGUGUGAAGAAACUGAAACUCAAGUUAAAUAAUGCACAACACGUAGCUGAGGAUGACGUUGGAUUUAUGAUCUUUCUGAGUGCUGGAAUUACGGCAUGUGUUACCACGGUAGACCUCUGCAGUGCCAGGGCCUGUGGUUAUCACCAUGCUGGAACCAGGCAAAGACCGAAAAAUAAUUUUUGAAUGCAAAGCCAAGUCUCCAAAAGUUGGGAAAGAGAAAGGCCAGUUGUAAGGAGCUCACUGAGAAUGCAGGAGUGAGCCUAAGUGUUGUGCUGCAGGGGUUGACCAGAGAGGCCUUGUGCGGCUUCUUUUCAAAGUGUGUCUGAGGUGUUUCAUCGUCCACCUGUUUUGCUACUGACUGUAAAUCUCCUUUUGCAGUUUUGACAAUUUACAAAUAAAAACUGGAACCAUUUCUUAAU